This 659-nucleotide ribosomal RNA is filed under the name uncultured bacterium. Its description in RNAcentral is "bacterial SSU rRNA". It matches the Rfam family "Bacterial small subunit ribosomal RNA", at positions 94 to 788 of the family's 1533-position model. The record is from RNAcentral.
AGUGGCGGACGGGUGAGUAACGCGUGAGAAUCUGCCUUGGGGUCGGGGACAACCACUGGAAACGGUGGCUAAUACCGGAUAAGCCGAUUGGUGAAAGAUUUAUUGCCCGAAGAGGAGCUCGCGUCUGAUUAGCUAGUUGGUGAGGUAAGAGCUCACCAAGGCAGCGAUCAGUAGCUGGUCUGAGAGGACGAUCAGCCACACUGGGACUGGGACACGGCCCAGACUCCUACGGGAGGCAGCAGUGGGGAAUUUUCCGCAAUGGGCGAAAGCCUGACGGAGCAAGACCGCGUGAGGGAGUAAGGCUCUUGGGUUGUAAACCUCUUUUCUCAGGGAAGAAGCUCUGACGGUACCUGAGGAAUCAGCCUCGGCUAACUCCGUGCCAGCAGCCGCGGUAAUACGGAGGAGGCAAGCGUUAUCCGGAAUUAUUGGGCGUAAAGCGUCCGCAGGUGGCGAUUCAAGUCUGCUGUCAAAGCACGGGGCUUAACUCCGUAAAGGCAGUGGAAACUGAAUAGCUAGAGUGCCGUAGGGGUAGAGGGAAUUCCCGGUGUAGCGGUGAAAUGCGUAGAGAUCGGGAAGAACAUCGGUGGCGAAAGCGCUCUACUGGACGGCAACUGACACUCAGGACGAAAGCUAGGGGAGCGAAUGGGAUUAGAUACCCC